Peromyscus maniculatus bairdii (prairie deer mouse) is the source of this 573-nucleotide non-coding RNA. NCBI's taxonomy places the organism in Eukaryota, Metazoa, Chordata, Mammalia, Rodentia, Cricetidae. The record is from RefSeq and is a predicted model, not a curated record.
GGGGCGCGCCCGCCUGGACCGCCUCGGGCACCCAAGUCCUCAGCCCCACCGUCGCGGGACCGUCCGGCAGGGCCGUCUGCGCUGCGUGGAGCCCGAGGGUGGGGCCCCGGCCGCCUCUGUGAGGGAGGCCGCCUCUGGUAUGUCCUCUGGGUUCCAGCUGUCGACAAGGAGGGUGGUGGAGAAAUGGUGCCCAUCCAGCAGGAAUACAUAUUUUCACCGUGUUUUCUGGUUCUUGUGACCGAAAGAGCACUGGCACAAACUAAAGAAGAGGAUCUGUGUGGGCUCACAGUGUGAGGCUAUAGACUGUCCCACCGGUGAAGAAGGUGCGGCAAGAGCGUGAAGCAGCUGGUCACAGCCAAUCCAUAGUCAAAAGCAGCUCACUUCGCCCCAUUCAGGCAGUCCUGCAAGCCCUACCCAUUUAUAAUGCUCCUUUUCUCACCUGAACCCAGUCUGGAGACUCCCUCACAGACCUAUCGUGAGGUUUGUUGCCUGGAUGACUCCAGAUCCAAUAGAGUUGACAACAUCCCACUCAGCAGAUUACAGCCCUGAAAAGAUCAAAAUUAGUUAACGAAA